UUGACCUCNAAUCAGGUAGGACUACCCGCUGAACUUAAGCAUAUCAAUAAGCGGAGGAAAAGAAACUAACAAGGAUU
RNAcentral lists this ribosomal RNA (77 nucleotides) under Boletus aereus. RNAcentral's name for it is "partial 28S ribosomal RNA". It matches the Rfam family "Eukaryotic large subunit ribosomal RNA", at positions 1 to 76 of the family's 3401-position model. Lineage: Eukaryota; Fungi; Basidiomycota; Agaricomycetes; Boletales; Boletaceae. The record is from RNAcentral.